CUAAGCGUACACGGUGGAUGCCCUGGCAGUCAGAGGCGAUGAAGGACGUGCUAAUCUGCGAAAAGCGCCGGCGAGGUGAUAUGAACCCUUGACCCGGCGAUGUCCGAAUGGGGAAACCCAGUGCAAUUCGUUGCACUAUCGUUAACUGAAUACAUAGGUUAACGAGGCGAACCGGGGGAACUGAAACAUCUAAGUACCCCGAGGAAAAGAAAUCA
RNAcentral lists this ribosomal RNA (215 nucleotides) under Enterobacter hormaechei. RNAcentral describes it as "partial 23S ribosomal RNA". It matches the Rfam family "Bacterial large subunit ribosomal RNA", at positions 12 to 227 of the family's 2925-position model. The record is from RNAcentral. RNAcentral also lists the same sequence under 1 other name. Lineage: Bacteria; Pseudomonadati; Pseudomonadota; Gammaproteobacteria; Enterobacterales; Enterobacteriaceae.